RNAcentral lists this long non-coding RNA (9490 nucleotides) under Ananas comosus (pineapple). RNAcentral describes it as "long non-coding RNA (ACOM_LNC002756)". The record is from RNAcentral. Lineage: Eukaryota; Viridiplantae; Streptophyta; Magnoliopsida; Poales; Bromeliaceae.
AUGUGGACAAAUUUAUCUUCUUUAUAGUAUUUGUGGGUGGUGUUUUAUAUGAGAAAUUAAAAGUUUGUAGUGUAAAGAGUUUCUUUGAAGUUUAAUUUUAGUUCACUGUAAUUAAAUAUUUUAAUUGUUAAUUCAAAUUUGAUAUUUAAAAUUUAUAAAUUUAAAUUUUUUAAAAUUUAAUUUUGAUCUACUGUAAUUGAAAUUUUUUAAUUGUUAUUACAAAUUUGAUAUCCAAAAUUAAAUUCAAUUCAUGAUUUAAACUCAAAUUUUUAAUUUUAAUAAAAUCUAUAGAUAGGAAUAACAGAUUGAUCACAACAGAUAAUUUUUAUUUGAAAUAUAUUUUAACAAAUUAAUCAUAACCAUUCAUAGGAUUUGACAUAUUGAUGAAUAAGAAUGCUAUUUUUAACAGACUGAUCACAACCAUUCAUUUUUAUUUGACAUAUUUUUCAACAAACUGAUUACGUAAGGAAUAUUCGUUUAUUCCUUUUUGGAUUCCGUCUGUUGGAAUUUCUAUACGUUUUUAUAUAUAGAACUAGUUGAGUGUACGUGCAAAUACAUGUAACAGUUAUUUUAAUUUAUUUUAAAUCAAUAUAAAUUUGCACAUUAUAUUUAUUUAAAAAUUUAUAAUUUAUAAAUUCAUAUGUUAUAUUUUAUUAGAAAAUAUUUGUAAUAUUUUAUAUUUUUCUUUCUUUAUAUACAUUAAAUAUUUUUAUAUAUUUUUUAUUUUCUGAUGAUCUAAAAUUUAAACAUAUGUUGUAAACAAAAAGCAUCAAAAUUUAAUUCAUAUUUAUUUCAAAAUUUAAAAUUUAAUUUUGAUUCAUUAUAAUUAAAUUUUUUGGAUAAAAAUGCUAUUUUUUAAUAGAUUAAUCAUAACCGUUCGUUUUUAUUUGAGAUUUUUUUAAUUAAGUGAACUGCUCAAUUUUAACUGACACAACCGUUCGUAAGAUUGAAUUUAUAGAUUGAUAAGAAUGCUAUUUUUAACAAAUUAAUUAUAACCGUCUGUUUUUAUUUAAUAUUUUUUAAUUAAGUGAUCAUACCAUUCAUAGAAAAUAUACGGAAUAUUUUUUUAUUCUUUUUUGGAUUCCUUUACAGAUGAAUAAGAAUGCUAUUUUUUAAUAAAUUAAUCAUAACCGUUCGUUCUUAUUUAAAAUUUUUUGUAGGAAAUAUAGAAAAAUAUUCUUUUAUUUUUUUUGGAUUCCGUCUAUCAUGGUAGGAAUUCUUAUACAUUUUUAUAUACGCUUUUAUAGAUGGUAUAUAGAUUUUGGAUUCCGUUUGUCGGAAUUCUUAUACGAUUUUACAUAUAGUAUAGAUAUGGAUAGAUAUCUAUAUCCAUAUCUAUAUCUAUAUCUAUAUCUAUUUAUAUCUAUAUCUAUACUAUAUAUAAAAACGUAUAGAAAUUCCGACAAUAACAGACGGAAUUGCAAAAGAAAUAAAGUAAUAUUUCCUAUGGAUGGUUAUGAUUAAUUUGUUAAAAAUAUCUCAAAUAAAAACGAACGGUUAUGAUAAAUCUAUUAAAACUCUACUAUAUAUAUAAAUUAUUCCCAACAAAUAAAAACGAACGGUUAUGAUAAAUCUAUUAAAAGUUCAAAUUCUUUCCUCUGUAGUCUCAAUUGAGAGGAGGAAUAAUUGAACUAUCAUCAAAGAGCACGCUUCACUAGAGAACAAAAAAUUAGCCAAAAUACUAAUAUCAAAACAGAGAAAUUAAAGAAUACUAUGAUAAUAGAAUCUGAAAAAUGCGAAUGGAAAACUGUUCACCAAACAAGAGCUUAAAACAAAAAAAAGCUCAAAACCAGUCAGUAGGCCUAACAAACCUAAUCAAACAUUAUAAGAAAAAAGAUAUCUUUUUUACUUCAGAAACCACAAGAUCUAUAGCCAACCAACUCCACAAAAACCAAUGUUUAAAUCAAACAAAAAGCACCACCAGAUCCAAAAGACCCUCUUGGAUCUCUCCACCUUCAGAGAUGGUGCUCUGGAUCUGGGCACACUUGACGACACAUUUCAUCGAUAAAAGUCCACUAAAUUGUACAACAAAUUCUUGGCAACAAUAUUACUUAAUAAUAAUGAGACAGAAUUACCUUGGUAUCUAUACUAACUGGAUGUUGCACAAUAUAAAACUUCUUAUUUUCUUAACUGCAUUGAAAUGCUUUUUGUGAAUUAUAAACCAAAAAGUUAAACUUUUCAAAUACUAGAAAAGUCAACUGAAUCAAAUGUAACCCACCCAGUAGAAAUCAACAAAUACAUUCUUAAACAAUUCAGAACCACACAAGAAUGGUAGCAAGUGAGACCCUGCAUAGAUUGGCCCUAAAUUUCAAAUCAUUACUAAGAGGAACAUAUCAGAGUUAAGCCAGUAACAUGAGCUUGUAUCCACAUGCUUUAUUUUCUUAGCAAAGAUAACCCCAAUGCCAACUAAGAUCAACCAAUGCAGCUAAAACAGAAAGUGCAAAAGAAUUUUAACAGCACCUCUGCUCAAAUCCAAAACAAGCUGCUCUCUUGGGCCCCAAUCUGACUUCUUUACUAAAGACUAAACUGUCAAAAACAGAUGAAACAUACAUCUCCAAAAAAGAAACUAAAGAAAACUAUAGCGAUAAUAGAAACUAUUUAGGAAUUACUUACUAAAGAAAUUUUAUAGAUCGAUGAGUAAGAGUUACGCAAGCACUGGCAGUUUACAAAAUUAAAUAAUAUCUAUUUCUCGCAACUAUAAAGGAUAGCAAAUUGGUUGAACAACUAAAAUCAGCACAUCACUGUAUUUCAACUGUCUUCAAGACAACUACCAAUCAGAAAUCCAUAUAAGCGGUAUAAGUAUAUAAAAGUGGCAACAUAUUUACCCAAGCCUUUUUACACUAUAAAUAAUAAGAAAUCUACCUUUUACGAACUAGCAGUGGACUUAAGCCUGCAGAAGUCAACAAUGAUACUAUCAUCUAUCCCAAGAAAUGUUAUAGCUUGGAACAUUUUGGGUUCGGCUUCACCAUCUGCUGCUCGAAAAGUAAGACGAUACUCCAAUCCCGAUGCAAUAAUGCAAGUUAUCUUCUCUAACUUCAAAAACUCAUAGCUCGUAUUCUGCAUUAAAAAAGAAAUUCCGAAAGAAAUUAUAACAAAAAAGAGAAAAAAGAUAAAAAGAAAGAAUAAAAAGGAAAAUAGAUAAGGCACUAUAAAUAUACAUUCUCACUGUUAAAACGUUCAAUAGCUGCUUUUGCACAUUUGAUGAUGGGCUCGGAAUCAUAACCGUCUACCCCUCUAAGACCAAGCUCCAAAUCGCUCGUAAACGGAUCAACGUCAAAUCCCUAUAAAACAUACUUACAAUUAGUAUGGAAAAAGAUUUCAAACCUUAAUUCUCAAAAGGAUGUUGAUAAAUAUUAAAUUACCUCGCUUUCCUCAAUUUGUUUAUAAUAUCUAGCCCAUUCUUCGCGGGUCCUUCUGCGCUCACCAUUUGGCCAGACGUAAUCGUCAUCCUCUCCCGACGAAUACUCAUAAUCCACAAUAUUCUUUUUCUUCUUAUUCUUUUCCUCUAAUUCUUCAUAUUUUCCACACCGAUUCUUUUCCCCUACUUCACAUUUUCCACGCCUACAGGUCUCCUCCUCCUCUUUCUUCUCCUCAUGCAGUUUCAUCAUUUUUUGCGGUGAUUCUUCAAGUAUCACCUGCUCAGCAUUUUUCCUACAUAAAGGAAUUAAACAUAUUAAUAUAUAUUAAUCUUUUUGUAUUUUACACAUUUUACUAAAGACUGUUUGUGCAAAAAGUAAAAGUAGAAGCACAAGCGAGACUAAAGAGUUCCUUAUGCUUGAUACUUGAUAAACGUGUGGUAACGGUGCUACAUAAAGACCUUCUACAGGAAUUAACCAGCACAUCUAACACAACUAGGCUGCAGUUUUUCUAAGCUCCAUUGAAAACAUAUAAUAAAUCCAGAUUGUUGUUGUUGUUGUGUGUGUGUGUGUCAUUUGACAUAACAUGACACAACUAGGCUGGAUAUGUUAUGCAGGUUUUUGUAUUGUGUAUAUGUGCUGUAAAGUAUAAUCUACUUUGUAUAACUGAAACAACACUUUUAUUGUAAAAUGACUAAACAAAUAACAUGUGACCUGUUCACGCUGUUCCUAUCUGCCUUUAUUUACUAACAACUAUCCAGGGCAUUAUGAUGAAAUUUAUGAUUAAAAUCUGAAUUCUCCAAUUCUUCACAAUCUCUUUUUUGCACAAUUUUGAUUGGCUUCACAAAAAUUGGCAGAGACAUUAGUGCACUCUAUCCUCGAGCCGUGUGAAGAUGCUGAUUUCACAUUUCCAGUGAAUUUUAACCUCGGAGAGCAUACUAUGUAGACUUGUUGUCAUCCUUACCUCGAGGAUUUCUUAGAGUGGGUCACUAACCUAUUCGAGACAAUUAUUUUCACAGCUAGUCAGAGCAUCAAUGAAGAGCAGCUUCUUAACAUUCUUGAUCCGGAAAGAAAAUUAUUCUGCCACCAUGUCCUACAUCUCUUGGAGGGCAACUACUUCAAGGACCUAUCAAUUCUUGGUUGUGACUGACUCGUGUUACAGCGUUGUUGAUAAUUCCUCUCAGGUUUUCAUUUUUUUUACAUCGCCUAGCCUAAUUUUGCAAGACUCUUUUUUUGCAGCCCUGUUUUUCAUUCAUUCUUUUUUAAAUUUUUGGGUUGGCUUUUACUUCACUUGCUUCUACAAUAAUGCUGCUCUAAGUUUUUCUUUUUCUAUUCUUCUUUAGGGGUGUUUGAGGCCGUUUUACCUCGCUUCAGUUAAUUUAGAGGGAAGAGCAGAAUAAUUUGCUAUAUGUUGCCAAUUCCAGAUUAAAAACUGUAACCAAACACAGUAGCUGCUCAAAGUUUAGCGUAAUUUCAGAUAUGAUUUCUAUGCUGACUUACAUAGAGGUGUGGAAUUACCACACCAAGUAAUCUUGUGGACUAGUAGCUAUACAAGAGUAAGGCUAAUCGAUGCAUAAAUAUUCACUACUUGAUGCAUUAAACACAGUUGUAACAUUCUACUUAUCUCUUAAUGCAAAAUGUAGUAAUUAAGAUUUUCUUUACUUGAUUUCAAUUAACGUUCUGCUUAGCUCUUAAUGCACUAAACUUGCUCGUAAUCUUACUGUUGAAACAAUAGUUGAUCCACUUGCUUACUAUUGCAUUUUUGUUUUGUAGGUCCUUCUAGGUUGAGGAAAUACUCGAGUGCCCAGAUUGAAAUUUUAGGCUUUUGGAAGUUAACUGGGAUUUUUUUUUUUUUUGGGGUUAAACUAUAGGAAUUUAGUGCCAUCUAGAACAGAUUUAUUAAACUAAUAUUUUGUAAUAGAAUUUUUGAUUAUUAAGGUUGUAUAUGAAAGCGAAGCAGUAUUUGUCAUAAAAAUUUUAUAAACAAGCUUUGAUGAUAAACGCAUUUUCUAUAUUAAAUUUUAUUAUUCAUUAGCUAUGGAUGAGGCAUUUUGACUAUUGUCAAAAUAGUAGCAAUAAUUAAUACUUUAUUAUCCUUUGAUUUAUAUGUUUUGACAAUUGUAAAUUUGUAAUUAUCUACAAUAUAUCUGCCUUACCAAACACUAGUAGAUGCAGCUAGACCCAGAUAUAGUGGCAUUGUAACAAAUGGCGAUUAUAAUCGAUAGCAACGCAGAGAAUAAUCGCCGCUAAAGAUUAAUUUGCUCGCAGCGAAAAAUAUAUAUAGUCCUACUCUAAAAGUCUAAAUUAGAUUCUGAGAUUUUACAUGAUUUUACUUUAAAUACAUAUUUAUUAUUUCAUUAAGAAACAGAUUCAAAAAACAAAUUAAUCUCUAAAACACAAUAUUAACAGUACCAGUAAUAACAUUAAAAAAAAAAAAAAAUCAACAGGUUUGGUUUCCGGUUGUGCUCUGUUUAACAUCGAUCCUAAUCAUACAUAUUGCAACUGAAACAAAUUUGUAUACGUAUAGAAUAUAGCAAAUAUAAACGUGUAUACCUUCUCCAGCUGAAGACGGUCCUCAGGACCAUAGUUAGUUAAUUCGGAUUCGGCAAAAAUUCGGUAUGGGUAUAAUUCGGAUAAAAUUCGUCUUCUAAUUUUUAAAUUCGUUGAAAAAAAACGGCUAGAAAACGGAUUCGCCAAUUAUUCGGAUACGUGAUUUAUACGGAUAUUAUUCGUUCACCAAUUAAAAAUUCGGGAUCAAAAAUUCGGCUAUUAAAUUAAAUUUUUUUCCUCUCAAGAUUUAUGCUAUUAGCAUAAAUACUCAUAUUUUUUAAGAAUAUAAGAAUAAAAAGCUACAAAAUUAAACUAAUUAAGUAAAAAAAUAGUAAACUAUAUUAUGCCUCAAAAUAAAGAAAUAAUUAAGCAAAUAAGAGAUCAAGAUAGUCCAUAUUUAAAUGUAAAAGCUUCCAACUUUUGCUUUGAAGAAUGAAAACUCAAAUAGUACCUGGUCCCAAAGUUAUGUUUCAAAAAUUAAGUAGAAACCCCAGUGAGUCAAUGGUCCAUGAAAGACCACAACAAAAUUUUCCUUUUGCAAGAGUCGACAAAGAUCAUGAAAUUGAUUAGGUAUAAUACAAGAGUUCCUGGUCCCAAAGUUAAUUAAGAUUAUUUAUUUAGCACUAUGUUUGGGUCUUCUUUGUGCAUAACAGAGAAUGGACACAUUCAAUUAAGCACUCAGCCACUUGUGUAUAAAACAAGUAUCCAUCAGAUGACUAAAACCUUCCAACUUUUUCUUUGAAGAAUGAAAAAAACUCAAAUCGUACCUACCUGGGUUUGUAAAGAACCACCCGGUUACUGAUCUAUCGUCGGAUAGCGGAAGCGGAAGCGGAAGAGGAAGAGGCGACGAGGAGGGUUUCGAUUUCUGAAGAGUGAAGAACCCGAUCUUCGAUCUUCGAUUUCUGAAGAGGAGGGCUUCCGAUGGCGUUCGGCGAGCGGCCGGAAGGGAAGAGGGAGACCGCCGCAGGGGUCGAUGGCAGGGCCGCACCGCCGCAGGAGUGAGAAGUUAGGGCAAACCCUUUUUUUGGGAGGGGUGGGGGUGGGAGCGUGGGAGUCGUCGCCUCGUGGGAGGGGGGCGAUGGUUUUCAGAAAUCCUUUCUUUUCUUUUUUCUUUUUUUUUUUUUUUUUUUGGGGCGACAGGUUCUUUUUCCUGUUUUGGGCCACCGCGAGGCCCACAAGUCCGCUCACAGUCGCAAGCAAGAGGGCCGUUUUUCUGGGCCGAAUUAUUCGCGAAUUCCGUUUUAUUCGCGAAUAAUUAUUUUUGCUCAAAAAAACCGCGAAUUAUUUCGAAUUUUUGGCAAAAAUUCGAAAACGGGUGUUUAAUUCGGCAUUUCAAAAAUUCGCAAAUAAUUCGCGAAUAAUUCGCGAAUUAACUAUGCUCAGGACGUCCAUGACGACAGAAGGACGGCGGACGGCGAACGGCGGACAGCAGACGGCGGGCCGCCGACAGCGGAUGGCGGAGCGCAGCCGGCGGCAGAUGGCGGAGCGCGGCCGGCGGACCGGGGCCGGCGGAUGGCUGCCGGCGGCGCAGAGGGAGAAGGGAGUAGUCUUGGCGCCUCGCCGGCGAUGAGAGAGAGAGAGAGAGGCGAGGAAGAGGUGGUUUUUGCGAAGCGAUCGAUGAAGGUCGGUGCAAGCUUGGUUUCGUCUCGUCUCGUCUCCGUUGCGUGGGUCGUACGUGCGCCGCGGUCGAAUUAUAUUUAAAUAUUAUAGUAAAUUUAAAUCCAUAUUAGAGAAAAAUGGAUUCAGAUACGUGUGGGAAAUCAAACAAAUACGAAUAUGAAUCAGGUUUUUACGAAUAUAUAUUUAAUACUUCUAAAUUUAUUUAGAAAAGAAAAAAAAUUAAAAUAAUGUUAAAUAUGUGGAUAUGUAUAAUAGCAAAGCAGUUUUCGAUUCGCAUUAGGAUAAUCCGAAUUCAAAUUUGAAGAAAAAUAGUAAAACUGAAUUUGCCCCCCGAAAAAAAAAAUUUCUAACUCAAAAUCUAAAUAUGAAUACAAAUAGGAUAGUAAAAUCCUAAUACAUAUCGGAUAAACAAAUAAAAAAUACUUCAAAUACUACUCCUGUGAUUUUAUAUUUUCUUACUUUAGUACCAUAUAGUUUAAAGCGUAUCACUUUUAUACUCUACAAUUUUAUUUUUCUCUUUUUAUUAUUCCUUCCGUUAAUUUUUUUUUUGUUAAACCAGUGGCAAAGUUAAAACUAAAGAGUACUAAAAUAAAUAUUCGGUAAACUAUAGACGGAUUAUCUGAAAUUUUUUGUAUAUGAUUUAACGAAAAGUUAACGGAAUCACUGGCGAAAAGAAAAAAAUAAAUUAUAAGAUAUUAAAUUGAUAAACCUUAUAGGAUACUAAAGUGAAAAAAAUAUGAAAUUACAUGAUGGUAUUUGUAGUUUACCUAAAAAAAACGCAAUAUAUAUAUAUAUAUAUAUAUUGUAAAAAGGUGAAAGGUGGGUUUCCAAAUUAGGAGAUACACCUCAACGGCGCUGUGAUUCCACCGUACUCUGUGGUUUUGGCUCUUGCGCACGAACGAGACCGCAAGUUAUCGAUUCCCUUUUUUUUUGCAAACCGUCUCUCUCUGUGAUCGCCGGCAAGACACCCCGCGAUCUUCUCUUCCUUCUCCCUCCCCGCCGCCGGCAGUCAGCCGCCGUCUGCCGUCCGCCGUCCUUCUCUCGUCACUGACGUCUUGAGGGUAAAUAUUCAGUUGGCGAAGGUAUAUACAUACAUAUACAUGAGUUAUAUUGUAUACAAAUAUGCAAUGUUCUACCGAUUGUUCGGGGUGCAAGUGGCAAAGAGUUUGAUGGUUGGUAUCCGGCGUCCUAAAAAUUUGAAUCCUAAUUAGUUCACAUUUUCAGCUAAAUUUAUUUUUUAAAUAAAUUAAACGAAAUAGAUAGCAUGCUAUCUUUCUCUCAAAAAAAAAAAAAAAAAAAAUCUAGAAGUAUAUAAAUUUCAGUGGCAAUAACUAAUAACUAAUUAGGAUGCUAAAUAGAAUCGAUAAUCAAACCUGUUGAAUUAUUUGAGUUUGAAUUGAUUAGGAUUUCGUAAUUUACUUUUAAUUUGUUUUAGAGAUUUGCUUUAGAAUUCAGUCUAGGAUUAUGUUUUGAAAACUAUAAAUAAAUUAUAUCGCUUGUAACUUAGGGGAGAGAAUUCUUGAGGAUUAAAAAUUGGUUUAUGAAUUUCAGUCACCGGUCAUGUUCUUUCUUUUUUUUUUUCUUUCGCCGUGUAUGCGGGGGAAAUUCUUCUUCAAGUUCUAUUCUUUCUUUUCUUUCUCACCUUUCCUUUAUAUUCUUUAUUUUCCUCUUAUUCUUCUUCUCUAAUUUUUAGAAAAUCUUUACAAAAUUUUCUAUAUUUUCAUUAAAUUUGCUUUGAUUUUUAGUUAUUUCUCUAAUUCUUUGAAUAAUAAAAAGUAUUUAGAAUACUCUGAAAGGGAAAGUAUAUAAAAUUCUGCUGUGGUGCUAUAUUAUUUUACUUUAUCAUUGCCAAAAAUGACGAUUAGGAUGGUAAUUAGUAGAAGAAAUUAAUUUUUUCCUGUUAGACAUGAUUAAAGAAAAUGUUAUAUCAUUUCAUCGCUCCAUAGGCAGAUACUUUUAUAUAU